Molecule: non-coding RNA, 72 nt
Organism: Phthorimaea operculella (potato tuberworm)
Lineage: Eukaryota; Metazoa; Arthropoda; Insecta; Lepidoptera; Gelechiidae
Source: the annotation of a GenBank genome assembly
GCAUCGAUAGCUCAGUGGCAGAGCGGUGGGGCGUUUACCCAUGCGGCCCGGGUUCGAUCCACGGUCGAUGUA